ACAAACUCUUGUGAAAGUUUACCUUUAAGAAUGAUAUCAUUUCAAUAACCAACAUAGUGACUUUUACAGCUCUAAUAUUACUCCAACUAUUCUCUCCCAUAAUCAACAUAUCAUCAUCGAAAUAUAAAUGAUUCAUAAGCUUUAUCUACCUAAAAGCCAGUGUAAAUCCUCAAAUUCACAACAGAGUUAAGCAUUACAUUCAAACCCUAUGCAACAAUGAGAAAUAGGAACGAUGAUAAAAGGUCACAUUGCCUAAGACCCCAACCCAUUAUGAACUCAUUUGUGGGACGCCGGUUUUACCCAAAUUGAAGUUGUAGUUGUACUUAAACAUUCAAGAAUCCACCUCCUCCACUCAGAGGAAGAGUUCAUUUUCUUCAUUUUCUGAGGUUACCUUCCCGAUUACCCUUUUAAGUAUAUUUGCCAAAACCUUCGACAAAAUUUUGUACUUACAACCCACCAGUGAAAUAGAUCUCAAAUCAGUCAGCUUUUGAGAGUUGUUUUUCUUUGGUUUCAAUGCUAUAAAAGGUGUAGUUUGAUCCUUUUUUUACCAAUUUUUCAUUGUCGUGAAAAUCACUCAAGAAUAGCAUUAAAUCAGCAUUAUUAUCAUCCCAAAACACUUCUAUAAUUCCGAAAUUGACAACAUUUAGACACUAGCAUCAUGAUUGUCGCAAUCCCACACCACAUUCCUCAGCCAAACGAACCACCAAAUUCUUUGCCUCUCUAUUAUUCAAAGCCUGAAACUGCAUAGCAUCCAAUCUCAACCAAGACUAAUCUCAAG
This 778-nucleotide long non-coding RNA is filed under the name Cicer arietinum (chickpea). RNAcentral describes it as "long non-coding RNA (CARI_LNC002983)". The record is from RNAcentral. Lineage: Eukaryota; Viridiplantae; Streptophyta; Magnoliopsida; Fabales; Fabaceae.